AACAUUUCAGCACACAAAAUAAUCAAUGAAGCUAACCUUCUCCAUGUGAAGAGUUCUUUGCAAAUCAACAUUCGUCACACCAUAUUUCUUGGACAACUCUCUCAACCCUUCAUAAUUCACCCGGAUCUCAAAACCCAAAAUACAAUGAAGCAGCUCUUCAUUGGUAAAUCACCAAGAAGUGGUUCUUCAUGAGGAACAACCAAUUGAUGACCAUCCUGACACUCAAUGGUUCAGUUUAUAAGCAAAAAUUGGGGUGUAUCAAAUCAGCCAGGCUGUAAAGAAGAAUGAGGGGCAGUUUUCAGAUCUAGGGUGUAGGGCACACAACCUGUAAAGCAGAAUUAACAGCUGGUUU
This 352-nucleotide long non-coding RNA is filed under the name Lotus japonicus. RNAcentral's name for it is "long non-coding RNA (LJAP_LNC002139)". Lineage: Eukaryota; Viridiplantae; Streptophyta; Magnoliopsida; Fabales; Fabaceae. The record is from RNAcentral.